Harpia harpyja (harpy eagle) is the source of this 1265-nucleotide long non-coding RNA. RefSeq lists it as uncharacterized. The record is from RefSeq and is a predicted model, not a curated record. Lineage: Eukaryota; Metazoa; Chordata; Aves; Accipitriformes; Accipitridae. The transcript is spliced from 2 exons.
UUAGGAGCCAAAACAAUGGAUGAAAGGAUCGAGUGAGAUGCGAAAAAAAAAAAACCAGAGGAGAGAAUUUGAAGAGAAUCAAGAUUCAGCCUUUGUUUUAGUUCUAAUUUGUCCUACAACAGUGAAACAUUCCCAGAUUGGCCUCAGGUAGUGGUACGUUUCCAGCUAUAUUAUGUGACGUGUAACAGAGAUGCAUAAAAAGCCACAUGAGUAUGUUCAGAUACCCACACCCUAACUGGAGCUAAAGAGCAGCAGCUUUUGAAGACAAGGUUGAGCAGCACCAAGGAGGAAAGCCUGUCCCCCACUUCCUUCACCAUCACAGAGGUUCUGGAAGUAGUCCUUGCUUAGCUUUCCAAGUGAAAGCUGCUACCAACAGUACUGAAUUACUUAAAAAUUGAUGUUUAUUGUCCACAUGGUGUGCAGCUGAGCGAGCUGCUGUGGCUCCUUGCAAGAGGAAAAAUGCUUGUUGAAUGAACCAUGAUCUGCCCCCACCUCUUUUUUUUUUUUUUUAUUUAGCUUUAAUUGAAUGUGGGAGAGACAGGUUUGGAACUGCUUUUGGGUGAUGGCAGAGGAACUUCUUUUAAGUAAUCUGGGGUGGUUCCAAAAGGCAUUCCAGUUCUCAGAAAAUGUCCAGGGCUGCCGUGCGCUGUGACGCAGGAUGGAGCAGCUGCACACUGGGGAUUGUGCUCCGAGGGAAAGGAACAGAUUCGGAGUGUUCAAACCACGAGUCCUCCUACCUCUCCUUUCCGCUGGAGUCAGCAGCUCUGCCGAAGUCCCGCUGCCCAUUUUAGCUUCUGAAAGACUAGACUAAUUGCUAACAUCUCCUACGAGGACAGAUGUGUACAGAAAAGAUGUACACUAAAAGAGACGCAUAAUAUUUGCCAUUUCAAACAGUGUUCAGCUUUGUAAAGUUGUUUUUAUGCAUUGAAGUGAAAUGUUUAAGUUAAUUGAGUUGAAUACAACGAUAGCUGGCAGCUGUAUCAUAAUAACCCUUCGAUAUACACGCAGACACAAGGAAGCAUAGAAGCAUUGCUAUUGUUUGUUGCUUUAUUCUGCCUUUGACUUUUUCUUUUUAAUGUCAUUUUUUCUUUUAAGGUUAUCUGCUCUGAUCUGCAGUAAUGUGGAUGCGUAACUGACUGUAUUUGGACUAAAGAUAUUCUUGUCUGUAUGUUUUCCUCGCCAGGCAUUUAGACUAUAAGCUAUAUUGAAAGCAUCAGGCAGAAAGCUAUACUGAAAACAUCAGACAUAAAUAGUUUAAUAUUAAA